RNAcentral lists this ribosomal RNA (301 nucleotides) under uncultured bacterium. RNAcentral's name for it is "partial 16S ribosomal RNA". It matches the Rfam family "Bacterial small subunit ribosomal RNA", at positions 509 to 807 of the family's 1533-position model. The record is from RNAcentral.
CAGUCGCCGCGGUAAUACGUAGGGUGCGAGCGUUAAUCGGAGUUACUGGGCGUAAAGCGUGCGCAGGCGGUUAUAUAAGACAGAUGUGAAAUCCCCGGGCUCAACCUGGGACCUGCAUUUGUGACUGUAUAGCUAGAGUACGGUAGAGGGGGAUGGAAUUCCGCGUGUAGCAGUGAAAUGCGUAGAUAUGCGGAGGAACACCGAUGGUGAAGGCAAUCCCCUGGACCUGUACUGACGCUCAUGCACGAAAGCGUGGGGAGCAAACAGGAUUAGAUACCCCCGUAGUCCCUGUCUCUUAUAC